GGCUCACUUCCUAUGUGGAGGCCCAGCCCACAGUGAAAUUAGGUUAGGUCCCUUUUGCUUUUCAUUCUUUCAAUGGAUGAGUGAGUGCAGUCAAGGUGCAAGAGAGAGAGCAGAGAGAGCCAUCCAGAAACUCUUGGAGAGAGCCAACAGUGUGUCAUCCAUAGAGAGUGAUAUAGAGAGUGAAAUAGAGAGUGAUAGUGAAGCAGAGAAAAGGAGAAAGUUUCGUCAGAAACUUCCGAC
This 240-nucleotide long non-coding RNA is filed under the name Phaseolus vulgaris (common bean). Its description in RNAcentral is "long non-coding RNA (PVUL_LNC002529)". Lineage: Eukaryota; Viridiplantae; Streptophyta; Magnoliopsida; Fabales; Fabaceae. The record is from RNAcentral.